This is a long non-coding RNA of Podarcis raffonei (Aeolian wall lizard), 472 nucleotides long. RefSeq lists it as uncharacterized. The transcript has 3 exons. The record is from RefSeq and is a predicted model, not a curated record. Lineage: Eukaryota; Metazoa; Chordata; Lepidosauria; Squamata; Lacertidae.
AGAGACAUCCUCAGCUCCUCCACCAUGGCACUACAGAAGGACCUCUACAGGGGAAGUUUGCAAAAGAACAAAAAAAAAUGUGGAAAGAAACUGCCACAAACUGUGUCAACAUCAUCUUCAUCAAUCUACAACCUUAAGGUCUCAUUCCUGGUCAGCUAUCACCAGUUCAGACUCCACAAGCAUGCUGAACAACUUUUAGAUGGCCUGACAGCAUGAAGCUUUUCUGACAACGUUAUUUGAAACAAGAUGGAAGCAACAUUCUUAACAGAGGCAAGAGUUUGUCCACAAGGAAGAGAAGAAAGAUUUUAGACCCUAUCUAUCUUCCACAAUUACUUACAUUUUAGUUCUUUUUCUUGUAAGCACUUUUUCCAUAAUCAUGGUACAGUCAGGGGAGUGAAUCCAGAAUUGCUGUUGACCAAGUUAUUGGGGGGGGGGGAGUGUCAAAAGCAAAUGGAAGAUGUCCAGGAAUCAG